AUUACUUGCCUUGAUCCAAUGUGAGGGAACAUUUGGAAGUGUCGCACUGGAGUGUCAACAUCAUAGCUAAAUGUUAGGCUCUAAAUUUUAUGAUGUAAAUAUUUACAAAGUAUGUGCCAGAUCACCAGAGUAACCAUCCAGUUCACGUCCCGGUUUUGGAAUCGUACACUGCACUAACAACAGAGGAAGAAAGUUGAACAAAAUUUCAAUGUCUGAUGGCAGCAUAAUAUGGCCCAGAAGUUUUUGCUCCCUUUCACUUUCCAUGCACUUACCUUCUUGACCAGAAUAUAACUGGUAAUAACACUGUGAUGCCCAAUGCCAGCGCCUCAGAAUUUGCAUCUGUAAAUCUCUUCUUGUAAUCUACAAGGACUGGCUUUAAUCUUGUCAUGCUUUAAUUCCAUACUGACCACCUUUGGAGACUAAGAAAUAGCCCACCAUUUUUUCCCAGCAGAAAAUAAGAAAAAUAGUCACAUACUUGAUUGAAAAAUUAAAACCUCUAACAGUUUAGAUCUUUCUCCAAGUAAAAGGAGAUUGCUGGCAAAGAACUAAUCCACAAGAUAUUUUUUCCAGAAACUCUCACUUUAUUAUCCCUGUUAAAGAGUUUAAAUUGCUGAAUUACUUCUUCUGUGGUAUGUCAUUUUAAUUCUGUCAGUAAUGUUAUAUAGAAAAGCUCAGUGUCCAAACCUUGGAAUUUAUUAAAAAGUAGUUGAAAACAAUGCAAACUCUAGCCACUUACUAAAAUUAGAGAUUAUUUUUUAAUUCAUUUUCUGACAUGUCUCAACCCUAUAAAGCAUUUCUGAACAUCUCAAAGAGACAUAAUUUCAAUAAAAGCAUAUUCUGGGGCAGUUUCAAUUUAUGUUAUCUGACACAUAAAAUUUUGCAGAAUAAUAAAUUUUCUUAGACUUUCAAACACAUAAAGAGAACAUUGCUCCUCUUGUAGAAUUUUUAAUUUUUUCUAGUUUUGAUGGAUAUUAUUUCUAUUUGUUAUACCCUUCUUUCUAAAUUAGUCUUGGUUUUUCUUUUUGAGAGUGGCCAUAAGCUCUAGACCCUGCCCUGACUAGAAAUUCAAGGGAUUUGGUUGCAGAUGUUUACAGUGUGUCUUAAAUGGGAUACUUCUUUAUCCUGGCAGAAGGCCUAAUACCCAAGUGACCUGAGGCCAGGUGUCCCUUCCACAGGAAUCUUAUUUACACUGGCAGAUGCCCUUGUGACACUCGUCUGACCUGUGUCCAGUUUGUUCCUACCAAGAUAGCCACUCUCUAAAAAAGAACCCAGACUGGAAAGAAGGUUAGGUCCAGGAAUGCAUGUUUCAAGUGAGACCCAAUGAGGAAAUGAAACUAAAAUGUAUGUAACAGAAGACCAUUGUCACUUACAGGUCCUAGAACAGCUUAGGGAAACUGAUGGGGAAAUCCUGAGGCAGCAGGGAGUUCAGCCAGAGGGUGAUGGUGGGUAGAAGGAAAAAGGAGAAAUGAGGGAGAGGAGAAGGAAAAACAAGAGGGAGAUAGCAGAGGGAGAGGGACAGAGAGAACUUAUGGGACUAU
RNAcentral lists this long non-coding RNA (1538 nucleotides) under Macaca fascicularis (crab-eating macaque). RNAcentral's name for it is "lncRNA (ENSMFAG00000056229.1)". Lineage: Eukaryota; Metazoa; Chordata; Mammalia; Primates; Cercopithecidae. The record is from RNAcentral.